Oryctolagus cuniculus (rabbit) is the source of this 1617-nucleotide long non-coding RNA. The record is from Ensembl. Lineage: Eukaryota; Metazoa; Chordata; Mammalia; Lagomorpha; Leporidae.
GUAGAAAAGACCCUUGCCCCUUUGUAGAGGGAUUAUACAUCCAAGGGCUGAUUCAAGAAGUUGCAUCUUUUUUCUCCACUCACUACUCUGCAAUCUAGAUCCACUGUUCCCUCCCAGAGAAUGAGAAAAAAGCAUCCCAUUUCCUGGAAUAAUCCUCACAACCAUCCACCCAGGACUGGCAUUUCCUAGUCUCCAUUCAAAGCUAAAAGGCUGUAGAGUAGGCAGCCAGGAGAGCCCCUUCACAAGCUGGGCUGAGAUGGCCCACUCACAGCCUAACAGCUGGCUGCACAGCUGGAGGUGGAGAGCGGUGCUGAUAAAUACGACAGACAGACCCGUGCCUGCCACUGGAAGUGCAUGCCUUCCCAUCACAAGGAAGCAGAGCUGUCCAAAGGUCCACUUCUGGGCCUCUGGGUUGACUGCUCCCACCUCAGCCACCAACACGUAGGUCCUGCCUUCAGGAGUGGCUUGCCAGCUGUCUUCGCCCACCCAUCACCCAUCACCUGCCUGCGUGUGGAGAACAGCCUGCUCCAGCCUGGCCUCCUGAUCUCCUCCCCAAGGAAGAUAGAGCGAAUAGAAGAUCAGAUGAACUUCCUUCAAUCCUUUCCCCAAAAACAGUGGUUCUCAAGGUGUGGGCCCCACACCAGCAACAUCCCCAUCAUCCAGGAACUUGCUAGACAAGCUAAUUCAGGAACCCCAGCCCAGCCCUAUUGACUCAGCGGGGGCCCAGCAAUCUGAUUUAAAUAAGUCCUCCAGGAGAUUCUGCUGCAUGAACAAGCCCAGUGGGUGCUGCCAGAGAAAAACUCCCAGACCCUGGUUGUCUCUCCUCCUUCCUCAUCUACCUUGAAGGCAUCUAGUGAAUAUCUUUCCUCUGUGAAAUUCCAGGGUUGGCAUCUCACAUACCAAGGUUCCCAAAGUGUGAGUCUCACUGACAGUAGAUCAGACACUCUUCUAAAGUGCUUUCAUUACAUUGAACUUCUUUGAAUCACUGAAAAUAAUGCUUUUCUUCUAAGUCUGAACAUUUAACCUUCUGAAGCCAAAAUAAUUCAAAACCUCACAGUCUCAUCCCUAAUGAUUAGGCAACCUUACCUAGGGCUCUCAACUGAGUGCUUGUAUGUUAGUCCUAAAGGCUGGUUAGACACUGUAGUGGACAGGUAACCUCCCAUGUCUACAGCCAACUUUGGGCCUCCACAGUUUACUGACUGGCUGUGUGUACUUAUUUCCAGAGCAUUCCCCAGCAUUGCCUUCAGAGAUGUGUUUCACCAUCAUUAAGACUAGUAAUUUGGGGGCCAGUGCUGUGGCGCAGUGGGUUAAUGCCCUGGCCUGAAGCGCAGGCAUCCCAUAUGGGUGCCGGUUUGAGACCCAGCAGAUCCACUCGCGAUCCAGCUCUCUACUUUGGCCUAGGAAGCCAGUAGAAGAUGGCCCAAGUGCUUGGGCCCCUGCACCCAUGUGGGAGACCCGGAAGAAGCUCCUGGCUUUGGAUUGGUGCAGCUCCAGCUGUUGUGGCCAAUUGGGCAGUGAACCAUUGGAUGAAGAACCUCUCCCAGCCCUGCCUCUCCUCUCUCUGUGUAACUAUGAUUCUCAAAUAAAUAAAUAAAUCUUUAAAAAAAAGUAAUUUGG